This 477-nucleotide ribosomal RNA is filed under the name uncultured bacterium. RNAcentral describes it as "bacterial SSU rRNA". It matches the Rfam family "Bacterial small subunit ribosomal RNA", at positions 1 to 525 of the family's 1533-position model. The record is from RNAcentral.
GGCGAUUGGGCGUUUGAUCAUGGCUCAGAACGAACGCUGGCGGCAGGCUUAACACAUGCAAGUCGAACGCCCCGCAAGGGGAGUGGCAGACGGGUGAGUAACACGUGGGAACGUCCCCCUCGGUUCGGAAUAACUCAGGGAAACUUGAGCUAAUACCGGAUACGUCCGAGAGGAGAAAGAUUUAUCGCCGAGGGAUCGGCCCGCGUCUGAUUAGCUAGUUGGUGAGGUAACGGCUCACCAAGGCGACGAUCAGUAGCUGGUCUGAGAGGAUGACCAGCCACACUGGGACUGAGACACGGCCCAGACUCCUACGGGAGGCAGCAGUGGGGAAUCUUGGACAAUGGGCGCAAGCCUGAUCCAGCCAUGCCGCGUGAGUGAUGAAGGCCUUAGGGUUGUAAAGCUCUUUCGACGGGGACGAUAAUGACGGUACCCGUAGAAGAAGCCCCGGCUAACUUCGUGCCAGCAGCCGCGGUAAUA